GCCCCGAUAGUUCAGUGGAUAGAACGAGAGCCUCCUAAGCUUUAGACGUGGGUUCGAUUCCCGCUCGGGGCACCA
RNAcentral lists this transfer RNA (75 nucleotides) under uncultured bacterium. RNAcentral describes it as "tRNA-Arg". It matches the Rfam family "tRNA". Rfam says of the family: Transfer RNA (tRNA) molecules are approximately 80 nucleotides in length. Their secondary structure includes four short double-helical elements and three loops (D, anti-codon, and T loops). Further hydrogen bonds mediate the characteristic L-shaped molecular structure. tRNAs have two regions of fundamental functional importance: the anti-codon, which is responsible for specific mRNA codon recognition, and the 3' end, to which the tRNAs corresponding amino acid is attached (by aminoacyl-tRNA synthetases). tRNAs cope with the degeneracy of the genetic code in two manners: having more than one tRNA (with a specific anti-codon) for a particular amino acid; and 'wobble' base-pairing, i.e. permitting non-standard base-pairing at the 3rd anti-codon position. The record is from RNAcentral.